This is a long non-coding RNA of Sander lucioperca (pikeperch), 283 nucleotides long. RefSeq lists it as uncharacterized. The transcript has 4 exons. Lineage: Eukaryota; Metazoa; Chordata; Actinopteri; Perciformes; Percidae. The record is from RefSeq and is a predicted model, not a curated record.
UCACAGCUGUACGGCUUCUCUCCAGUGUGAACGUGUUGAUGUCUUUUUAGGUAGCUCUGUCGUGUGAAAGCUGCCCCACAUUGAUCACAGCUGUAGGGCUUCUCUCCAGUGUGAAUGCAUUGAUGUAUUUUUAGGUCACUCUGUCGUGUGAAAGCUGACCCACAUUGAUCACAGCUGUACGGCUUCUCUCCAGUGUGAAUGCGUUGAUGUCUUUUUAGGUCACUCCGUCGUGUGAAAGCUGUCCCACAUUGAUCACAGCUGUACGGUUUCUCUCCAGUGUGAA